Non-coding RNA from Phascolarctos cinereus (koala), 402 nucleotides. Lineage: Eukaryota; Metazoa; Chordata; Mammalia; Diprotodontia; Phascolarctidae. The record is from RefSeq and is a predicted model, not a curated record.
GCUGAGGCAGCUCUCCUUCUGGAAGGAAGAUCCUCCUACUCGCCCUUCCCCCAACUUUUCCAUGUAUUCCAUCCUCACCCCCAUCCCCCAUGGGCUACUAUGGUCCUUCUGAAUUUAAAAAAAAAUGCAGCUUUUCACAUUCACAUUCUCCAACUGCAGCGAGAGCAGAAGGCGGAGAUAAUGACAAUGAGAAAGGGGAAGUGUCUGAGGGCUGAGAAGGACCAAGGACACCAGCAUGGGGCAACUGGGAAGCAGCCUGACCCGCAGCAUGUUUGGAACCCUCCCACUCAUUUGCCACCAUCACCGUCUGGAAAUAGGUGAAGUUACCAGACUUUCACAAAUGGAAGAAAGAUUCUUGGCAGCUCCUUUUCUUCUGCAUUGAGGGAAUUGAAAUGGCCAACG